Molecule: long non-coding RNA, 882 nt
Organism: Paramormyrops kingsleyae
Lineage: Eukaryota; Metazoa; Chordata; Actinopteri; Osteoglossiformes; Mormyridae
Source: RefSeq, a predicted model, not a curated record
GGGGAGGCAUGCGGGGUGCGACACAGUGGAAGGAGAUUACGGUCCUCCAAGGCCACAGUACGACAUACAGGCAGCCUGUGGUCAAAAAAGAGGGAUUCACAGUGAUACAUAUUUCCUUCUCUUGUAUAGCCUGUGUUGAUUUGACUGUAAGAAUAUUUAUGAAUCUCCCAGCUUCUUUCCCAUGCUUACAUCAAGCCGAAGAAGCGGAGCCCCCCAGGUGCAGAGAGCCAGGAGGCCAACAACCCCAAAGCUGCUGCCCAUAGCCCCUCCCAGCAGACAGCAGCUAGCUACGAGCUGAUUCUGCCCCAUGGUUUUCAAGGCCAGCUGGACUUAUUACAGUCUUAUUUUACCGCGGAUUAUCUUCGGAAUGCAGCUCUGGCUAUGGCCCCCCAGACACAGGGCCACAUCAGCAUCGAGAUGAUCUAUCCAGCAGAACUUCCACCACAGAACCGGGAAAUCCGUUCUGCAGAUCCUGUCCCAGGGGAAAGCUGUCGUACCGGCCCAGCUACUAAAUAAUGAACUCAGAACAGCAAACCCAUAACAGACACCAGGAUCAGCAAUAAACUGUACACCUCACCCACAGCUCAGUUAAAGGUGUAUGCACAUGAAUAUAUGUCAGAAGCAAUAGGAGCCACUUGUGUCAUAACUCGAUCAUUUCCCUCUUACUAUACGCUUUUUUUGCUUUUAAUAGUACUGAAAUACGCCUUGUGGUGCAACCUGGACACAUCUUCAGUGAUGUAACCGGGAUCACUAUAUACUGUAUUAGUCAAUAACUGCACUCACCAAAGAUAUUUCUUUUAAUAAAGGUAGAAUUUUAUUAAGAAUGUUACUUAUUCUGGAAAUCAAUGUACCCUGUGUACACUGUGGACAAAUAAAGCACAG